GAACACGAGGAGCGAGAACCCUGCCUCUUCUUAACACAGACACACAAAACAACACAAACUCCUCAGCAAUGCCUGGACGGGCCUGAGCGCCUUCGCAGCACAGAUAUCCAAAAUGUGAGGCUGUUUACGCACAUCUCCUCCUCACUGAUUUAUCACCGUGGUGAAGAGUCCGGUGUCUGUCCGUCGCGGUGCAGCUCGCAGUUAAACAUUCCUGCGAUGUGUGAUUUCUUGUGACGGAUCUAUGGAGGUAAAAAAAAAAAAAAAAAAAAAAAAGGCCAAACAACACAGUGUCCGUGGAGGCAGCCGGUCAGGCCCAGUCGGGGUUAUCCGGGCAGGAAUGAACGCCUCGCUUCAGUCAAAUGAAUCCUGUAACAGAGAUCCGUCGGUGCUGAGGAUGUAAGACAUUUCUCCGCAGAGGAAACAUCCCUCCCUGCUCUGUCUUUCAUGUCCCGGUCCUCACAGCUGAAGCAGCGACGUCAUGACGCAGAUGCACGCAGAGCUGCUGCCGUUAAAGCGCGCAGAGACCCAGUUAACGGACUAAACGGUGCGCUGACCGGGGUGCUGAAAACCACAGCAGGAGCUUUCUGCAGCCUCAUCCAGUCACCCUGUUCUCCUGCAAUACUGGGUUUAGUUGGCCUUUUGUGAGGGAGUUCCUCUUUCAAGCGCCAUUUACCAAAAUAACUCAUUUAAAUGCCCAGUUUGCUUUAUUAAGUUGCCCUUUAACACAGGGUGGACCUGGGUAAGAAGCCCUGCAGAGACGAGGUGGAAACCUCAGAGUGAAUCUCAGAACCAUCAAAGAAAAUUGCAGAGAUUUGAGACUCCAGAGAGAGACCAGUUUCCAGUUCUAGAUGCCGUGUCCAGCCCACAAGAUGCAGAACCUGUUGGUGGUGGUAGGACUACUGUGAGCUAAGGAGUCCUCAUAUUUUCACCAUCUACCCUGAGUGCAGUCAGACUGAACUGUACAAACACAUACAGCUCUAGAGACAGAUGGCCUAUCCAUCUCUCUUUAUUGGGAAUCUAUUAUAAAUCUAUUUUUUUCUUUUGUUUUGUUGUUGUUGUGUCUUAAUUUUUAUUAAGGAUGAGUUUUAUUUGGACUUUGUUGAUACCAGUACUGUUAAUUGUAUUUAUUUUUGCUUCUCUCGAUGAUUUAGUGCAUAAAAUAAAGACACAACAAGAAAAGCUGUAAGCUAAUUAAAUUUAUUUUUGCCAGAUGCUGGGCAACUCAA
This is a long non-coding RNA of Acanthochromis polyacanthus (spiny chromis), 1226 nucleotides long. RefSeq lists it as uncharacterized. Lineage: Eukaryota; Metazoa; Chordata; Actinopteri; Pomacentridae. The transcript has 2 exons. The record is from RefSeq and is a predicted model, not a curated record.